CGCGGGGGAGAGCGGUUGACCUCCUCGGACGUUCUCGAGGCAGCUGGAGGCGGGACCGUGACCCGCUGGCAGCUCGGAGCUAGCCGGGCGGCCGGAGCUAAAGAGCGCCCGAGCGCCAUGAUUCCUCUGGAGAGGCCGAGCAGCGGCGGCUCUUCCCCGGCCGCCGCCCCCGGCUCGGGUCGAGUCGGCCGGGGUCUGACCACACCGCGCCGGCUGCCGCCCCCGCCCCGCGGGCUGCUGACGGAGAUCCGCACCGCGGUGUGCACCGAGCCCUUCCAGGAUUCCUACAGCCUGAGCCCGGGCCGGGCGCUGGGCAGGGGGAAGUUUGCAGUGGUGAGGAAAUGUAUAAAGAAAGAUUCUGGAAAAGAAUUUGCAGCAAAGUUCAUGAGAAAAAGAAGAAAAGGCCAAGAUUGUCGGACAGAAAUAAUUCAUGAAAUUGCUGUUCUUGAACUAGCACAGGACGAUCCUUGGGUCAUUAACUUACACGCAGUCUAUGAGACGCCAUCGGAAAUGAUCCUAGUUCUGGAGUAUGCUGCUGGGGGUGAAAUCUUUGACCAGUGUGUUGCAGACAGAGAAGAAGCCUUUAAGGAAAAAGAUGUUCAGAGACUCAUGCGGCAGAUUUUAGAAGGUGUUCGCUUUUUACACGCUCAUGACGUAGUUCAUCUUGAUUUGAAGCCCCAGAAUAUUCUGCUGACAAGUGACUCUCCACUGGGUGACAUUAAGAUCGUUGAUUUUGGUCUUUCACGAGUACUGAAGAACGGCGAAGAGCUCCGGGAGAUUAUGGGCACUCCCGAGUACGUGGCUCCUGAAAUUCUUAGUUAUGAUCCUAUCAGCAUGGCAACGGAUAUGUGGAGCAUUGGAGUGUUGGCAUAUGUCAUGCUGACGGGAGUAUCGCCUUUCUUAGGCGAUAAUAAACAAGAAACGUUCCUCAAUAUCUCACAGAUGAAUUUGAGUUAUUCUGAGGAAGAAUUUGAUGUUGUGUCUGAGUCAGCUGUUGACUUCAUCAAGACACUUUUAGUUAAGAAACCUGAAGAUCGCGCCACUGCUGAGGAGUGUCUGAAACACCCAUGGCUAAUGCAGAGCAGUGUUCAGGAACCUUCUCUCAAGGUGAAAGGGGCAUUAGAAGAGGCACAGGCCCUCCAGGAAGGCGAUCCUGUGCCUGAAAGUCAUUCAGAUACUCAGAAGCCGGAAACCGAGGAAUCCGUCGUCACAGAGGAGUUGAUUGUAGUUACUUCAUAUACUUUAGGACAGUGCAGACAGUCUGAAAAAGAGAAGAUGGAGCAAAAGGCCAUUUCUAAACGCUUUAAAUUUGAGGAACCUCUGCUGCAAGACAUUCCGGGAGAUUUUAUCUACUGAGCAGUAUUUCCCUUUAGAACUUUAAGAUUUCUAUAUUGGAAACAUUAUUUAUGGACUUCUGGCCAAAUGGUACAUGUGCUGAAAGUGGAUGACCAGGUGUCACUGGUAGAAACUAAAAUAACUUUGUCAAACUUGUGGAGUUAGAGAAAUCAAGCCAGAUUUAUAAAGUUGCCAACCAGGAGGUUUAACGGGUAAAGUUACCUUUUUCAGAGUUCUUUUUAAGAAGGGAGAUGCUUGAACCUUUUAUUUCUGCAUCCUGUUUCUCCAGAAUGAGAAUAUGUAUGCAAAGAUAUCUGUAGUCACUUUCCUUAAAACUCCAAGUAAAAGUGCCAAAAUUAACAUCUUUGUAAAUCUGUUUUGCAUUAUUCAUAUCUAUAUCUGCAUAUAUGUAUGUUGAUAUCGUUACUAAAAUUGAUUCUUUUUCACUUUGGAUUUUUUGAGGGGACUAAGAUUUUAAUUUAAGUAUUUUGCAAAUUUCUGAGACCUAGAAUAACAUGUGCUAGUUAAUAAUGUCUUAUUUUUAUAUUUUAUUACUGCUCUAUGUUGACUUGACUUGGCUUCUGUUGUCUGUUUUCUUCCUAAUGGUUUGCAGCCCUAUCAGUGGAAAACCCUGGCUAAUUUUAGUUUUUUCUUCAACAUCACUAGUAAGAGUGGUGGUGAUUUUUCACCUCUGAAAUUGUUCUGGUUUUCAAGGUCAAAGGUUAAGUCACCCUGUAAUGUUAACCCAGUGCUCGCUCCGCGUGUCCCUCAUCACACCUUCCUUGUCUACCCUCUUUCACAGGCUGCACCCCUGCCGCCUCCUCACACGCUUGUCGCCUGACUUUGGUCUCUUGCGAGAGGCAGUGUGAUCUGAUCAACACAGUGGUGCUUCGGUCAGUGAGAGGACGCUAUUAAGUUGUUUUUGUUAAUAAAAUCCCCAGGAAUCGGGGAAGAAAUAUAAAGCACAUUCAUGCUGGCCAUCGAGCCUCUGCUUCUGUUGAAUUUCCCAUUAGCCCCCAGGCAAUACUAGGAAAAGUGGUAAGAUGCCAGAAUAUUUAUAAACCUUUACUUUGUUCGUAAACGACUUGACAUUGGAAACUUUGUCAUUAGGGAGGUCCCCUAAGACUUGUAAGAUUUGUAAGAAUAUACUCAGUAGCAUUUAAUUUACUUAGGAGUGAACACUUCAGCUGUAUCUGGGCCCACAGUGAACAAAUUCCUAUUUAAAAAAGUGGAAAUGUAAAAGCGUAUGCUGUAUAACUUAAAGCAACUAAAUCUUCUUCUUACACAGAACAGUCUGCGAGUCCUUAUUUUUACCUUGUAUUAGGUGCUUGUAUCGGGUGAACACAACUUGUCUGUGACUUGUGUGCACACAGCGUGUGCUCUGUACCGUGAGCUACUCGGACCCAUUCCUUCGCAGUCUGCUAGGGUGUCACGUGGUGCUUUCUUCCCAGCCUGGUUGCUCAGAUGUCAGCCUCAGGACCAUGGGAACCCCUAACCAUCUGUUUUCAAGUGUGUGUAGGGUACUGGGCUGGACUUUCCCAUGCGUGGUCUGCACGAGCUCCCAGCCCUGCCUUGCAAGUGUCGCAGGCCCUGUGUUGUUCCGACACCAUCAGGUGAAAUUGAUUAGGCAGUUCGAACCCUCGGUUUGCACUGUUUUCUCACUAAAUUGGCCUAUUGAUUUAUACAGUUUCUUGGAAACGAGCAUUUCUAAACAAGCUCUAUAAAGAGGAAGAGGAAAUUCUGCUACAGUGGCAAUUUUCAAUGAAAACCCACGGCCACAAUGCUAAAGCCUCAGACCUCAGUUUGGAAGAAAGUGUAGGAGCGAAGAGGUCGCUUAGAGACUGUUGGACACGAGGUGAAUGCUGUGCGGCUCCGUCCACGGAGGCCUGAGCAACAUCGCUCCCUGCCACCGACAUGGAUCAUCUCAAGGUACCAAGAAACAAAUCCUAAAUACGUUUUAAGCUCACACUUGGAGAAAUUUGAAUUAGACUGAUAAAACUAAAAAUACGAUAGUAUUGUUCAAGAUCAUUUGGCAAUUAGGCCCUUCAAUUUGUUACAGAAUUAAAAGAGCUGGAUUAAAAACGUUAACCUCAAGAGCCUGAAUUGCCAACUAUGCUUUUAUUGUCGGAGGGGAUAUAAUUUACAAGUAACGAAGUGUACAGCUCUAAACCCGUACCAGCCUCUCUCGAGCCUGACAAAUGCACGUAUUCAGAUAGAGGGAAUUACAUGGCACGUCCACCCUGCUGUGGCUUUCACUCAGCAUGAUUUUGAGACUCAUACAUAUUGGUGCUUGUAUCAGCAGUGUGUUCCUUGUUGUUGCCAUGUGGUGCUGUUUGAACACACCAGCUUAUGUAAAACCAUAUCUCUGUUCAUGGACCCCAGGGCUGUUGCAGGUUUUGUGUCUUAUGAAUAAAGCUGCUAUAGAUAUUCUUUUUUCUGUU
Non-coding RNA from Delphinapterus leucas (beluga whale), 3776 nucleotides. The record is from RefSeq and is a predicted model, not a curated record. NCBI's taxonomy places the organism in Eukaryota, Metazoa, Chordata, Mammalia, Artiodactyla, Monodontidae.